UUUUAGUUAUUUUGUGUCUUUUGAGAGUAAAUAGUACAAACAUGUUUUUGAAAUUUGCGUUUGUCUUUGCGGCUCUUUUAUCUUUAAGUGAGUGUAAGCCAACUGAAGAUGUAUCAUUUGGAGGGGACUACCCAGAAAUGCAAGAGUUUAGCAGAACGAUGGCUAAUUUCGUAAGCGACAUGUCGAGAACGAUAGAGAGCUAUUUGUACCCCAUUUUUGAAUUGUUCGCUGCUUUGGACGAGAAAGACAUAAAAGCCUUGGAAAACUCGGAGUCUUUUCCAUUUACGGUUGAAGGAAUGGAAGAAAAUGAAAUGUGCACUGAUAUUCAUGACAUAAGGUGCGAUUUGGUGGAAGUGGUGCCGAUUCCAGAGGCGAAAUAGUCUGAAGAUAUUUGGAGCCGGCUUUUAUUAAAGCUGUUUUUGUUUUCAAAUUAAAAAUGUCCAAAAUCUAAAUGUAAGAAUUAAUAAUAUUUUAUUUUACGCGAAUAUUAAAUACAAUUAUUUGACCAUUAAUCAAGUACAGAUGAUUUUGAUACUGUACUUAAUUAUUCAACUAAUUCAUUUUUAAGUGCCACUGCUUUUAACACUUUUUUUUUUAAUAAAAUAUUGUUUAUCAAAUUUACUUAUGUUAAUCACUAUAAAAUAAAUAAUGCUCAAAAUAUUUUUUAAAAAUGUUAGUUACAAUUAAAUUAAAUACAUAAAGAAAUUCGAAGUGCUGAUUGUCGUAAGAACAAUGGUUGUGUGGCCAGCCCUGGACCUUAUGAUAACACUGGGUCUAAUGGCUUAAUCAUGACCAAGCCCUAGGUGGCCCGAGGUUGUUAUAAUAGGACCAAUUUCCUUACUGGAAUUCAAUCUACAUUCCUAGAAUUGACGGUUGGUGCUUGAAUAUUUGGAAUUGAAUAGGUAUUUGGAUUUUAGAGGGUUGGGUAAAGUUGAUGGUAGAACUUUUGCCGCUACUGAUAUAAAAUUAGCUAGCCUUUAAGAUAAUAAACAAAAUAACUAAACUAUAAAUAAAGUUUAUAAUUUGUCAAUAGCACGCUAUAGAUAUG
Molecule: long non-coding RNA, 1048 nt
Organism: Ostrinia nubilalis (European corn borer)
Lineage: Eukaryota; Metazoa; Arthropoda; Insecta; Lepidoptera; Crambidae
Exons: 3
Source: RefSeq, a predicted model, not a curated record